GUGUUUACUGUACCUUAGUUGCUUCGGCGGGCCCGCCAUUCAUGGCCGCCGGGGGCUCUCAGCCCCGGGCCCGCGCCCGCCGGAGACACCACGAACUCUGUCUGAUCUAGUGAAGUCUGAGUUGAUUGUAUCGCAAUCAGUUAAAACUUUCAACAAUGGAUCUCUUGGUUCCGGCAUCGAUGAAGAACGCAGCGAAAUGCGAUAACUAGUGUGAAUUGCAGAAUUCCGUGAAUCAUCGAGUCUUUGAACGCACAUUGCGCCCCCUGGUAUUCCGGGGGGCAUGCCUGUCCGAGCGUCAUUGCUGCCCAUCAAGCACGGCUUGUGUGUUGGGUCGUCGUCCCCUCUCCGGGGGGGACGGGCCCCAAAGGCAGCGGCGGCACCGCGUCCGAUCCUCGAGCGUAUGGGGCUUUGUCACCCGCUCUGUAGGCCCGGCCGGCGCUUGCCGAACGCAAAUCAAUCUU
RNAcentral lists this ribosomal RNA (461 nucleotides) under Aspergillus flavus. RNAcentral's name for it is "eukaryotic LSU rRNA". The stretch from base 145 to 298 matches the Rfam family "5.8S ribosomal RNA". The record is from RNAcentral. Lineage: Eukaryota; Fungi; Ascomycota; Eurotiomycetes; Eurotiales; Aspergillaceae.